UUUUUUUCCUAUUAAACUUUCCACUUCUUUCUUUUUCCUUUCUAAUUCUCUUUUUAAAUACCAGAAAUCGUACACUCCUUUAUUUUGACAACAAUUAAUCAUAUAACAGCCGAAUGACCAUUAAAAAAUAUACAUUUUAUUGUGACAAGAGCAAUAUGACAACAUGUAUUUUCGAAUUUCGAUAUUUUGAAAGUGUGUCGAGACACCAAAAAAAACGAUAAAAGUCAUCACCGAUGCUAAAAGAACCAUAAGGUAAUUAGAUAUAUUUCAUCAUCAUUAUUCGUGGUUAACGAAAA
Molecule: long non-coding RNA, 296 nt
Filed under: Brassica napus (rape)
Lineage: Eukaryota; Viridiplantae; Streptophyta; Magnoliopsida; Brassicales; Brassicaceae
Description: long non-coding RNA (BNAP_LNC010829)
Source: RNAcentral